This 227-nucleotide unclassified non-coding RNA is filed under the name Chytridiomycota sp. Its description in RNAcentral is "partial contains small subunit ribosomal RNA, internal transcribed spacer 1, and 5.8S ribosomal RNA". The stretch from base 1 to 47 matches the Rfam family "Eukaryotic small subunit ribosomal RNA", at positions 1785 to 1831 of the family's 1831-position model. Lineage: Eukaryota; Fungi; Chytridiomycota. The record is from RNAcentral.
AAAGUCGUAACAAGGUAACCGUAGGUGAACCUGCGGUUGGAUCAUUAAAAAAUUGAAUUCUUGGAAUUCGCACUGGGUUGAUUCACGUCAACUCAGUAAACCUUUUGUGAAAUGUUAAUGUCCCUAGUCAGGUGUAAAAGCUUGUCUAGGUUAUAUACUCUUUUAUAAUGACUGAAUCAAGUAAUCUAAUUAAAAAACAACUUUUAACAACGGAUCUCUUGGCUCUC